This 408-nucleotide ribosomal RNA is filed under the name uncultured bacterium. Its description in RNAcentral is "partial 16S ribosomal RNA". It matches the Rfam family "Bacterial small subunit ribosomal RNA", at positions 28 to 526 of the family's 1533-position model. The record is from RNAcentral.
GACGAACGCUGGCGGCGUGCCUAAUACAUGCAAGUCGACCUUAGUGGCGAACUGGUGAGUAACCCGUGGGUACCCUGCCCAUCAGAAGGGGAUAACCCUUGGAAACAGGUGCUAUUCCCGUAUACUGAUGGAUGGACCCGCGGUGCAUUAGCUAGUUGGUGAGGUAACGGCUCACCAAGGCCACGAUGCAUAGCCGACCUGAGAGGGUGAUCGGCCACAUUGGGACUGAGACACGGCCCAAACGCCUACGGGAGGCAGCAGUGGGGAAUCUUCGGCAAUGGACGAAAGUCUGAUCGAGCAACGCCGCGUGAGGGAAGAAGGUUUUCGGAUCGUAAAACUCUGUUGGUAGAGAAGCGGUACCUAACCAGAAAGCAACGGCUAACUACGUGCCAGCAGCCGCGGUAAUUC